RNAcentral lists this ribosomal RNA (490 nucleotides) under uncultured bacterium. RNAcentral's name for it is "partial 16S ribosomal RNA". It matches the Rfam family "Bacterial small subunit ribosomal RNA", at positions 30 to 507 of the family's 1533-position model. The record is from RNAcentral.
AUUGAACGCUGGCGGCAGGCCUAACACAUGCAAGUCGAACGGUAGCAGGAAGAGCCUUGCUUCUUUGCGGACGAGUGGCAGACGUGUGUAAAAUGUGUAGAAAACUGCCUUAUGGCGGGGGAAAACUCCUGGAAACGGUACCUAAUACCGCAUAUCGUUGCAAGACCAUAGAUGGGGAGUGACAGACGUCCUGCCAUCCGCUGUUCCCAGGAUGCAUUAGGUUGUUGGUGGGGGAACGGCUCACCAAGGCGACGAUCCCUAGCGGGUCUGAGAGGGUGACCAGCCACACUGGAACUGAGACACGGUCCAGACUCCUACGGGAGGCAGCAGUGGGGAAUAUUGCGCAAUGGGCGCAAGCCUGACGCAGCCAUGCCGCGUGUGUGAUGUAGGCCUUCGGGUCGUAAAGCACUUUCAGCAGGGAGGAAGAGAUUUAAGUUUAUACCUUCACUCAUUGACGUUACCCACAGAAGAAGCCCCGGCUAACUCCGUG